RNAcentral lists this transfer RNA (70 nucleotides) under Marmota monax (woodchuck). Its description in RNAcentral is "tRNA.Asp". The record is from RNAcentral. Lineage: Eukaryota; Metazoa; Chordata; Mammalia; Rodentia; Sciuridae.
GGGUUGCAGCUCAGUGGUAGAACACAUGCCUAUCAUGUGUGAGGCACUGGGUUCAAUCCUUAGCAGCACA